Long non-coding RNA from Myotis daubentonii (Daubenton's bat), 7352 nucleotides. RefSeq lists it as uncharacterized. Lineage: Eukaryota; Metazoa; Chordata; Mammalia; Chiroptera; Vespertilionidae. The record is from RefSeq and is a predicted model, not a curated record.
CACAACAAUUUAAAUAUACUAUGUCACGAGCUGUACACUUAAAAAUAGUGGAAAUGGUAAAUUAUGUUAUGUGUAUUUUAUUAUAUUGAUAUUCUAUUCUUUUGUGUAUUUUCUUCCCGUUUAACUUGAGAAUCAGCUUGUCGAAUUCUACGAAAAUACCUUUGCUAUUUUGAUUGAAAGCACGUUCACUGACAUCUUUACAACACUGAGUCUUUCCACCCAGGAACGUGGCGUGUCUCUCCAUUUCUGCAGGCCUCCUUUUAUGUCCUUCAGCCAACAGAGCGGCUUUGAAGCCAGGAGGCCCGACUCUGAACCCUGGCCCUGCCACUCACUGGCUGUGAGGCCUGGGGCCAGUCACGUCGUAGCUUCUCGGAAACCCUGCGUUCUCACCGGUAAAAUAAGGGUUGAACAGUCUUUCAUGUCUACGUACUACUUCUAGUUCCUCAUCUGAAUUGCCUGCUCAUGAACUUUGUCUGGAUGUCUCUUAGCAACUCAGGCGAGGAAAAGGAGCCUGUGAGCGAUCACGUGACAGCCCAGGGCCACCAGGAUUGGAAUCCGAGUCUGGUUGACUCCAAAGACCUUGAUGCUACCCUGGCCAAAUGGGAGGAUGUGUAAUAAAAACAGCCUCAGGCCAAAGGACAGGGAUCUGAAGUCCAGGAAUGGAGAAGAUAAGGUCGGUCUCAAAGAUAAUCGAGAGGCAGAUUUUGUUGUUGUUUUGUUUCGCCCUUUAAAUAAGUUUAUUCACACACAUGGAGGAUAGAGUUACAUUCCUAAGGUUACAAAGCUUUUCUGGAGCCAGGACUGGGCAGACUCCACUGGGGGAAAGGGCACAUUUCUACAGGGCAGUGGCCGCGGGAGGGAGGGAAGGGCAAGGUCUAAAGUUCAGUGUGUCCAGCAGCUCCGAGGUUCCCCAAGAGGCCCCGCCAGGGCUUGGGGUUCAGAGGCCCAGGAGCAGGUGGCGCGGGGGAAUGAAGGAGGGGGUCCGUCUGAGUCUCAGCUGCGUCGACACCUGACAUCGGUGGGGUCCAAAGCCUCCAAGGAGGUAGGAAAUGUGACUCCGCCCCCCAACAAUAAUGUCAAAAUGUCACAGAGACACAGGAGCCAAGGAGAGAGCGCCCUAUUGCCACAGCUGGAGGAGUUUGAGCAACAAAGUAAGUGAAGUGGCAUUGUGUUCUAACCCAAAGUAUAAAAUGAAUACCCAUGAGUCCAUACUGAUAAAAUAAAUGAUCAGGAAGAGUCAAAUCUCCCACAAAAUAUCCCAAAUAACUGAUGCAGAUAUUCUGCCCUCAGGGAGGUGGGACAUGCUCCCCAUUGCUUACGUGGGGGCUGCUCAGGGUGACUUCCUUCCUAAGAGGACAGUGGGGCAAACCGAAGAGGAGGGGCAGAGGACCCUUCUCAGUGGGCAUUUCUGACAAGCGCCACCUCAGCCAGUCAUCAGGUCACCAUCAGCCCGAUAAGCCAGGUUGGUAUGACGUGUCCAGCGGCAGCCUUGCUCAGGGCGCCAGCAGCCCCUGGCAGCCUUGGAAAAGGUCCGUUUUUCAUAAACACAAGCAUAUCCACAGCCCCCACUUACUCUUGGCUGUGUCCAUGACCUUGUGGGGUGGGGACCAGAGCCCCGGAGCACCUGCUGUUGCCUCAGCUCCUAAGAGCUCAGAGGCACAGGAAGCGCCAGGACUGAGAGGGAAGCCACAGUCAGCGGCAUCUGGGAGGCUCUGCCCAGGCGCCACAGUGCCCAGUGAAUUGACGGGGCCCAGCUGUGACCGAGUUGGCAGUGUCCAGAGGCAGUGAAGAGCAGCAGUGGUGUCCAGGGCAGGUCCCAGCAGCUGGGUCAGAGGGACACGGGCACCCGGAGGCGCCAGCAGGCCGAGGUGGCCCUGAGGUUAGCAGUGUGCAGCCUUAGGCAGAGACCGGGACUCGGAGUUGCUUACAGCGUGUUCCGAAACCUCCUGCCUCAGGCCCAGAGGGCCUGUUUCUGUUUUUCCAGUUCAUGAGGUCAACGAUCUUGAGCAUGUCCUUCAGCAAAUCAGAGAACUCCCACCAGAGUCAGGUCCACGCUUGUCUCAGUGACCUCUGGCCGAGCAGCCUGCUGCCGCCUGGCAGUGCAGGGGGUGCUUCUGGGAAGGCAGGGUUCCCAGUGACUUUCUCCCCCCGGGUGGCCCCUGGCUGCUCAGUGUGGUCCAGAUCAGCCCCCUCUUUCCCUUGACUCCAAAGCUAGGAUGAAGAAUGUGCUCAAAAGCAUCCACGGAAAAUGAACGUUUGUCCUCUUUCCGCCAUCCGCGGGGGAAGCCCAUUUACAGAAACCAGUCCAUCUCAGGGAGGCAAGACUGAGAGCGUCCCCCUUGUCAAAUGCAUGGCGGCUCCAGUGCUACGUCCAUGCUUAACAUCGUCUAUGACACUUUGUCCAUCUCAUUAAAUAUUCUUUGACAGCAUUACCUCUUUCCACCUUAAAACUCUUUUGAAAAAAUAUUUUUAUUGAUUUCAGAGAGGAAGGGUAAGUGAGAGAGAUAGAAACAUCAAUGAUGAGAGAGAAUCACUGAUUGGCUGCCUCCUGCACACCCCCCACUGGGGAUUGAGUCCGAAACCCAGGCAUGUGCCCUUGACUGGAAUUGAACCCAGGAUCCUUCAGUGCUCUAUCCACUGAACCAAACUGGCUAGGGCAGUGGUCGGCAAACCGCGGCUCGUGAGCCACAUGCGGUCCUUUGCCCCUUGAGUGUGGCUCUUCCACAAAAUACCACGUGUGGGCGCGCACGUACAGUGCGAUUGAAACUUCGUGGCCCAUGCGCAGAAGUCGGUUUUCGGCCUGGGCAAGUUUAUUUUGAAGAAGUGGCGUUAGAAGAAGCGGGGGGUGUCGGUCGGUCUGGCGCCCGCGGGAUACACAGCACGGGGGAGGUGUGCGUGAUUCAUGCACGAGCUGAGUGAGCUGGUCAGUCAGCAGUGUCAUUGUGCAGUGGUUAAUGCUAGUCGCGUCCGCAAAUCACUCGCGGGUGACAAAAGUACCUACUCGAAGCAUAAAGUUACCUGUAUUUUUCCAACCAGCUGCAAAUCCUACAGGUAUUUUUGUCAUCAAUUUAAGAAUUGUAAUUAUUUUGUGUUGGUAGCUUUAUUAUUAUAAAAUGAGGACGUUUUUCAGCAAAGGCCAGCUUAGGAGUACCCUAAUUAAGUUAAUAACAGUGUACCUACCUAUAUAGUUUAAGUUUAUAAAAAAUUUGGCUCUCAAAAGAAAUUUCAAUCGUUGUACUGUUGAUAUCUGGCUCUGUUGACUCAUGAGUUUGCCGACCACUGGGCUAGGGCCAUCUUAAAACUCUUAAAGCAGUAACUGCCGUGGAGAAGUCUGGACGAUACUGUCUUACCAUGUGAUGAAGGUUCCUCUCACCUGUGGUGUUGUGUGGCUGCCACACGCCCCUGAUCUGAUGUGGGGAGAAGGCACGUCCCUGUGGCAUUCUCGCCCCAAACCCUGAAGACCAGUUUAAUCAGGAGAAAAACAUCAGAGUAACCCAAAGUGAGGAACACUCCACAACCUGCCCGAGUGUUACUCCUCAGGACUGACAAGGUCAUGAAAAGCAAGGACAGCCCCAGCAACUACCACAGGCCAGAGGAGACGGGGAGGCAUGGCAGCCGAAUUCAACGAGUAGCCAGGGCGCCACACGACAGGUAAACGCAAACUGUCUCAGGUCCCGCUCUGGGCCCUGAAACUGGAAAAAAGACACCAGUGAGAAAACUGGUGAAAUCCAAGUACAGUGCGUAGUUAUAGUGACGCACCAUGGAAUGUAAGACGCUCACGACGGAAGGAAAUGGCUGAGGGCAUAUGGAACCCCGUGUAUUAUAUUCGGAGCUUUUCUGGGAGCCUAAACUUAUUUCAAGAGAAGCCAUUUAUUAGAAGAAUUCACGCCCCACAAAAAACCUAAGUCUUUCCUUGGCUUCCGUGAUAUUGUGUCGUAUAUCCUUCGUGUGUGUGUGUGUGUGUGUGUGUGUGUGUGUGUGUGUGUGUGUUCUCACUCACCAAAUGACAACUACCAUGUUAGGUACUGUGAAUAAGGAGGCCAACAAAGCAAACCCAGUCUGGUUCCUGCCCUCAUGGGAAUAUAGUUUAGAGCAGCGGUCACCAACCUUUUGGACCUCACAGCCCAGCAGUGGUCCGCGGACCACCGGUUGGUGAAUGCUGGUUUAGAGCAGGAACUUUGAAUUGAGUUGGACUUGAGGUUGAACCAGCUCUGCUCCUCCCUAGAGACUGCAUGAUCCCAGGUAAGUCCCUUCAUCCACUGAAACCUGUUUUUCUUCUCUGUAAAAAGUGAAUAAGGACGUCUACUUUAUAAUAUCGUUGUGAAGAUUCAGUGCGAUAAUAUACAAGAGUCCCAACCCAUAGUAAAUGCUCAAUAAACACUCACCAAAGGAACCACUGACACCUGGAUCGUGUCUGCAGCCUCCCAUGCAGUUUCUCUAGUUUCACUUCUAUGGAAGGCGUUUAAAGCAAGAAGCAACCAAGAACAACAACAACAAAGGUAAAUCCUGGUGAUAAGUAGGCAGAGGCUGUAUAAAAGAGGCGCUGUCAUGCAUAAAUGGAGGAAUCGGCAAGCAAUUUCGUGAGAGGCAUUGGGCCAAAGCCUGGUUAAAACCCUACUUUGAUUAUUUUUUUAUGACAAUGAAGCAUUUUAGAAUAUCAGGAGAUAGAGAGACUGGCUGGCUUCCUAAAUCAAUUCUUCCACUUACUACCCUUGGCAAGUUACUUAUCUCUCUGUGCUAACUUCCUCAUCUGUCAAGUAGGGACGAUAAUAGUCCUUACCUCAUAGACUAGCUGUAAGGAUUAAUAUAGGUAAUCAAAAUAGGUAAAUAUAGGAUUGAGAUAGGUAAAGCAUUUAGACCAGUCCCUGGCUCAGAGUAGCUCUGUAUGUGUUAUCUGUCACUGCCCGUUUACCCCCAGUGCCACGUGGGGCUAAUAGCACCUUCCCCAAUGGUGGGAGAUUUCCAUUAUCCGAAUGGACCAGAAUAACAGUUCACUUGGUCUUAGGGGACCUGGUCAAGUCUCUGCCACAACGACCAGAAUAACAGUGGGAACUGUAACCCGGCCUGCCAUUCAUUUGACAUUGUUUCCAUAAAUGCUGACUCUGACUAGAUAAACAGCAUGCUUGUAUCGGAAUCCCAGGAACUCGCUUCCGAAGAUACAGGCUCUGACCUUCAGUCACUCCAGUUCUGGGAGAUGCUGCCAGUGGAAGGAAAUGGCUGAGGGGGAAACAGCUGACCUUCAGACCUUCAGCGACCUUCAGAUGACGUGGAGGCAGGAUGACAAAGACCAGGGUGAUGCACAUCAGACCAUCACUUGACCAGUUUCCAGGUCCUUAUCGGCACGGACUUCGCUGGCCUGCACCUAGAGGAUUUCUCAAAACCCCCUCCCCCAUUCAGCAGCAAGACCCUUUCCAUAUGAAACUAACCUCAUAGAUAUAAGAUUUAAAACUAACGGGGGGGGGGGGAGGUAAUAGGGGAGGGACACAUAAUAGAAAUAGAACGACAGUUGUUUAAUAGCUGCUCACUAUGAAGGGGAGAUUUUCUUACAGACCCUGGGAACUGAAGGACGUGUCACACGCAGGAGAACAGGCCUGGAGAUAAGGCAGCCCGGAGCCCAGAUGAAGGACAGAACAUCUCUGAAGGGAGACAGCAUUCCAGGGCUAAUCUUCGCAAGGACGACGGAAGAAGGCAGGCCCUGGGAACUCACUAACUUCAGAUUCCCCCACCCACUAGCCCUGUACAAGAGCUUGAACUGAAACGUCAGAGCACUCUUCCUCAAGGUGCUACCCCGCUGCUCUCUCAGGUCGCCUGCUAUCUGAUUAAUCAACGCUCAUAAACGAUUCCACCUUGUCUCUGCUUAUUGGCUUAGUGGCGAAGGCAGUAACGGACCCGUCCGUGCCCAGUAUCACCAGGACGUUUCAUAGUGGGAGGUCUUUUCACUUAAAAAAGUUACUUCUUGCCCUGACUGGUUUGGCUCAGUGGAUAGAGCGUUGGCCUGUGGACUCAGGGGUCCCGGGUUUGAUUCCGGUCAAGGGCAUGUACCGCGGUUGCGGGCACGCCCCUAGUGGGGGAUGUGCAGGAGGCAGCUGAUCCAUGUUUCUCUCUCAUGGAUGUUUCUGACUCUCUAUCCCUCUCCCUUCCUCGCUGUAAAAAAAUCAAUAAAAAAAAAUAUAUAUAUUUUUAAAAAGUUACUUCUUGAGAGCGUUGGUUGGAUGUCACCAGUGACAUCAAUCUCAACUCUUACCUCAUUUGGGACCCUGACAGCCAGAUCAUGAUAGCUUUCAAUACGGGUUACACAGCAGCUUCCUUUGUGCGCGCGCGCGUGUGUGUGUGUGUGUGUGUGUAGUAAACCUUAUUUUUAAGAAAAGAUUUAGAUUUAUAGAAAAAAAAAUUGAAGACUAGUACAGAGAGUUCCCAAAUACCUGGCAUUCAGUUUCCUGUUAUUAACAUUAUCUUGCCUUUUAAAUUCAACACGAUGUCUUUGAGAUGCACCCAUGUUGGUGUGUGGCUCUAACGUAUUCAUUCUCACUUCAGCGUAGUAUUCCAUGAACCUGGAAGCUUUUCGUGGUGUCCCACGGCCCAGGCUUUCGUGCCCGGAUCCCAUCUUCCUCUUCGUGAGGUCCGUCCAAACUGAGUUCUGCAGUGAGAAUACUCACAUGGUAGUCAUGUUAUACAAUGUCGUCUGGUUUUCAAUGUUGAGAAUCAAUCUAGAGGCAAAGUACGGCAAACGGAACCACCUUUUACAGAAUAGAAUGUACAUACUCCAAACCUUCACAAAGUAAAAGUAAAAAUUGAGUUGAUGGAGGAAGGCAGAAGUGGGGAGGGGAAAUUAUUCAUUUCACACAGAGGAAAAUCAAAAGAUACAAUCUAAGGAAGAAACAGUUAAGAUUAUUAUUCAAAAUUAUAAUUGUAACCAAUAGAAGAACUACAAAUAUGAAUAUAAAAAAUUUGGGAGGAGAAAGGGGAAAAGGAUGGUUAAUGAAAUCCCACAGCAGGGAAUCAGUCGAUACUGCUACCACCAACACAUCCAGCACCAGAGUGUGAGGACAGUAUUCACAGUUAUGGAAGUGACAUAAACAAACAACUAAAAUGACAACCUAAUAAAAUAAAAUAAAAAAGAAAGAAAGGAAAAAAAGCAAGGCUGCUCCCGAGUUGGGAAGGGAGAGGACAUGUUAAAGUUUUGAUGUCUAACUUUUAUAGUUGGCUUCCAUGGGCAUUUUUAUCUCUGCGAAUUAUCUUUUUUAUAUUCGCCAUAAUAGUUAAAAUGGCAACUAAUUAGGCAAAGCUGUAGAUCUGAUUCCGACAUUUCCCUAGGGCUUCGGGCUCGUUCAGUCACUCGCCCUCACCCCGGG